ACCUACGGGUGGCAGCAGUGGGGAAUCUUAGACAAUGGGGGCAACCCUGAUCUAGCCAUGCCGCGUGAGUGAUGAAGGCCUUAGGGUUGUAAAGCUCUUUCAGCUGGGAAGAUAAUGACGGUACCAGCAGAAGAAGCCCCGGCUAACUCCGUGCCAGCAGCCGCGGUAAUACGGAGGGGGCUAGCGUUGUUCGGAAUUACUGGGCGUAAAGCGCACGUAGGCGGAUUGGAAAGUUGGGGGUGAAAUCCCGGGGCUCAACCCCGGAACUGCCUCCAAAACUACCAGUCUUGAGGUCGAGAGAGGUGAGUGGAAUUCCGAGUGUAGAGGUGAAAUUCGUAGAUAUUCGGAGGAACACCAGUGGCGAAGGCGGCUCACUGGCUCGAUACUGACGCUGAGGUGCGAAAGCGUGGGGAGCAAACAGGAUUAGAUACCCUUGUAGUC
RNAcentral lists this ribosomal RNA (441 nucleotides) under uncultured Paracoccaceae bacterium. Its description in RNAcentral is "bacterial SSU rRNA". It matches the Rfam family "Bacterial small subunit ribosomal RNA", at positions 337 to 795 of the family's 1533-position model. The record is from RNAcentral. Lineage: Bacteria; Pseudomonadati; Pseudomonadota; Alphaproteobacteria; Rhodobacterales; Paracoccaceae.